UUCUCCCACUUGCGCUAUGCUAACGCGUUUGUUUUGUUGUAUUUACCCAGAAUGCCCUGCGCUGUAGUCCGCUUCCUACUUUUGGAGCGGUGUCGUGUCCGGUUGGAGUUCAUAUUCGGACCACAGCAGAGUUCCCUUCAACAGAACCGAGACGGAGAUUUGUCUGCUGGCUGUUUGGUGUUUCACUCUCUAAGGCUCACCAGCACCUUCAGUUCCCAUUAAAGACGAACCUGUUGGGUUCUCCUUGUAUGAAGAAAUCUCUAAAGAACAGGAGACUCUGCAACUGCAAUAAGGAUUGGGAAGAAAAUAAUCGGUGGUUUCAAUCUGUCAGUGCUUGAAACUUUGCACUUUAUGCCAUCAGGAGUUUUC
Long non-coding RNA from Xiphophorus couchianus (Monterrey platyfish), 369 nucleotides. RefSeq lists it as uncharacterized. NCBI's taxonomy places the organism in Eukaryota, Metazoa, Chordata, Actinopteri, Cyprinodontiformes, Poeciliidae. The record is from RefSeq and is a predicted model, not a curated record. The transcript has 3 exons.